Molecule: transfer RNA, 72 nt
Filed under: Gemmatimonadales bacterium
Lineage: Bacteria; Pseudomonadati; Gemmatimonadota; Gemmatimonadia; Gemmatimonadales
Also listed under: 1 other name
Description: tRNA-Cys
Rfam family: tRNA
About the family: Transfer RNA (tRNA) molecules are approximately 80 nucleotides in length.
Source: RNAcentral
GGCGCCGUAGCCAAGCUGGUAAGGCAGAGGACUGCAAAUCCUUUAUCCCCGGUUCGAGUCCGGGCGGCGCCU